This 253-nucleotide ribosomal RNA is filed under the name uncultured bacterium. RNAcentral describes it as "partial 16S ribosomal RNA". It matches the Rfam family "Bacterial small subunit ribosomal RNA", at positions 524 to 776 of the family's 1533-position model. The record is from RNAcentral.
UACGUAGGUGGCAAGCGUUGUCCGGAAUUAUUGGGCGUAAAGCGCGCGCAGGUGGUUUCUUAAGUCUGAUGUGAAAGCCCACGGCUCAACCGUGGAGGGUCAUUGGAAACUGGGGAACUUGAGUGCAGAAGAGGAAAGUGGAAUUCCAAGUGUAGCGGUGAAAUGCGUAGAGAUUUGGAGGAACACCAGUGGCGAAGGCGACUUUCUGGUCUGUAACUGACACUGGGGCGCGAAAGCGUGGGGAGCGAACAGG